Molecule: long non-coding RNA, 397 nt
Filed under: Physcomitrium patens
Lineage: Eukaryota; Viridiplantae; Streptophyta; Bryopsida; Funariales; Funariaceae
Description: long non-coding RNA (PPAT_LNC002463)
Source: RNAcentral
AGGAUUAUUCUUGCAUUUCUACUUACUUUCUACAACUAAGUGCUUAGUGUGUUUUCAAAGAAGAACACACAUAAUAAGAGAGUAAUGGGAACAAUAAGGCUACUUCUUAUUGCUUUGCAAUGGAGUUGCUUACUUCUUAUUCUCUUAGGAAUUGAAGAGCAAGAGCUUAAUGAUUUUGCAGCAUUAAUGUAGAAUUAUUCAUACUCUAGUCUUAUUUGAAUUGCUAUUGAAGGUACAAAUUAGUCUACGUUCUUUCUUUCAUUGUCCCAUAUUACUGCCACAAAUAAAAUGCCUUCCUUUUUUUUAACUCUUUCUUAUGUGGUUGUUGCUAUUAGAGCGACAUUCAAGCAUUGAAGUGUGGUGAUCUUAUUUAUCAAAAUUCUUUUUUUGUGUAAAG